GAGAACAUCGCCCUCACGGGUGACUCUCCAACCCUAUGUUAUACAACCUUUGUUGCUUUGGCGAGCCGUCUCGGCCGCUGGCUUCGGCUGGCGAGUGCUCGCCAGAGGACCUAAACUCUGAAUAUUAAUGUCGUCUGAGUACUAUAUAAUAGUUAAAACUUUCAACAACGGAUCUCUUGGUUCUGGCAUCGAUGAAGAACGCAGCGAAAUGCGAUAAGUAAUGUGAAUUGCAGAAUUCAGUGAAUCAUCGAAUCUUUGAACGCACAUUGCGCCCCGUGGUAUUCCGCGGGGCAUGCCUGUUCGAGCGUCAGUACAACACUCAAGCUCUGCUUGGUAUUGGGCCCUGCCGGCAACGGCUGGCCUUAAAAUCAGUGGCGGCGCCAUCUGGCUCUAAGCGUAGUAAUACUCCUCGCUACAGAGUCCCGGUGGAUGCUUGCCAGCAACCCCCAACUUUCUAAGUUUGACCUCGGAUCAGGUAGG
Molecule: ribosomal RNA, 480 nt
Filed under: Ascomycota sp. BEA-2010
Lineage: Eukaryota; Fungi; Ascomycota
Description: eukaryotic LSU rRNA
Rfam family: 5.8S ribosomal RNA (bases 157-310)
Source: RNAcentral